This 418-nucleotide unclassified non-coding RNA is filed under the name soil metagenome. RNAcentral's name for it is "partial contains 5.8S ribosomal RNA, internal transcribed spacer 2, and large subunit ribosomal RNA". The stretch from base 1 to 120 matches the Rfam family "5.8S ribosomal RNA", at positions 35 to 154 of the family's 154-position model. The record is from RNAcentral.
GAUGAAGAACGCAGCGAAAUGCGAUACGUAAUGUGAAUUGCAGAAUUCAGUGAAUCAUCGAAUCUUUGAACGCACAUUGCACUCUCUGGUAUUCCGGAGAGUAUGCUUGUUUGAGUAUCAGUAAACACCUCAAAUCUCUUGUUUCUUGUGAAUAAGAGAAUUGGACUUGAGCAAUCCCAACUCUUGCAAAAGAGGCGGGUUGCUUGAAAUGCAGGUGCAGCUGGACAUUCUUCUGGGGUGAGGGGAUGUUUAUUUAGUCCCGUAAAACGGAUUAUUACUUUUGCUGCAGCUAACAUAAAGGUUGAAUGGCCAAUAUGGCUGACUGAUGCAGGAUUAACAGAGAAUUUAUUCUUUGUAAACUCGAUCUCAAAUCAAGUAAGACUACCCGCUGAACUUAAGCAUAUCAAUAAGCGGAGGA